UGAAUUGAGUUAAAUAACUGCAGG
RNAcentral lists this small nuclear RNA (24 nucleotides) under Arabidopsis thaliana (thale cress). Its description in RNAcentral is "snRNA_17532". Lineage: Eukaryota; Viridiplantae; Streptophyta; Magnoliopsida; Brassicales; Brassicaceae. The record is from RNAcentral.